This 492-nucleotide ribosomal RNA is filed under the name uncultured bacterium. RNAcentral describes it as "bacterial SSU rRNA". It matches the Rfam family "Bacterial small subunit ribosomal RNA", at positions 21 to 507 of the family's 1533-position model. The record is from RNAcentral.
GGCUCAGAACGAACGCUGGCGGCGCGCCUAAUACAUGCAAGUCGAGCGAGAAGGUGUAGCAAUACACUUGUAAAGCGGCGAACGGGUGAGGAAUACAUGGGUAAUCUACCAUCGAGUGGGGAAUAACCAGCCGAAAGGUUGGCUAAUACCGCGUACGCUUCCGAGUCUUCGGGCUUGGAAGGAAAGCCGCACUGUGAGUGCGGCGCUCUUUGAUGAGCUCAUGUCCUAUCAGCUUGUUGGUAGGGUAACGGCCUACCAAGGCUUUGACGGGUAGCUGGUCUGAGAGGACGAUCAGCCACACUGGCACUGCGACACGGGCCAGACUCCUACGGGAGGCAGCAGUAAGGAAUAUUGCGCAAUGGGCGAAAGCCUGACGCAGCGACGCCGCGUGGGGGAUGAAGGUCUUCGGAUUGUAAACCCCUUUCGGGAGGGAAGAUGGAGCGAGCAAUCGUUCGGACGGUACCUCCAGAAGCAGCCACGGCCAACUUCGUG